Non-coding RNA from Odocoileus virginianus texanus, 3158 nucleotides. The record is from RefSeq and is a predicted model, not a curated record. NCBI's taxonomy places the organism in Eukaryota, Metazoa, Chordata, Mammalia, Artiodactyla, Cervidae.
UGUUGCAAACAGUCAGACACCACUGAGUAAGCACACAACACAGUAAGAUUACCACUUGCUGAAGGCUCAAAGGAUGGUUACCAUUGUUUAGCAAUAACGCAUUUUUAAAGUAAGGUAUGUACAGUGUUUUUUACACAAACGGCUACUGCAAACUUCAUAGACUGCAGGAUAAUGUAAACCUAAUUUUGAUAUGCACUGGGACACCAAAAAAACUGAAUGACUCGCUUUACUGUGGUGAUCUGGAAUCUCGCGGACCACCAAAUCACAAUUAUCUCAGGUAUUACCUGUAAUGACAUCUAUCUGCAUUUGCCAUGGAAUUUUUUUCUCCAUUAGAGGGACCAUCAGCUGGGUCUCACACUUCAAGACCAGCCCCCCUCAUUUCUGAAACUCCUUUCUGUGUAAAAUGAGGAUUUGUUUUGAGAUCCAGUGGUUUGAGCACGCAUCGCAACGACGUGGCCCAUCCCCCAGGCCAGCCACUGUGUGGCCCUGCCCAGUUCACCACGGACCCUGGCGAAGCGCAACCCUCCAGUAUGGCUGCCUCUGCUGCGCAUGCGCGAACCAUCCCGUCUCGCGCAGUUACCCGGCUGCUUCUGCCAGGGAGACGGAGCCGGUCCCCUUAACCACAAGCUCACUCAUCGAGAUCGGAGUGUCACGGUGAGCCACGGAGCGGAGGGAUUCUGGGAGCAGGGACGCGAAGAGAAGUGGGAGUGACGUGGACUUACCGCCCACCAUUCAGCCACUUCAGAACCUGGAAAACUGCAGUCUGCCGGCCGCCCGCCUGCCCGCAAUCCAGUCGGAGAUGAGUCACAGGCAGGGACGCGCCUCGACUCAGAUGCUGGGCGCUGAGUGAGACGGGCGCGAGGGAAGACGUGACCUGGGUGUCAGAUCUGUGGUGUGGGGUGUCCCUGGCAGUAACCGCGAGGUGAGCGGAGGGUCCUUCCCUGCGAGAAGUCAGAGCUCUGCGCGUGGGCAGGCUGGCUCCACUGUUCUGCUCCAAGGAUUACAUGUCCUUCAAACGCCCCUGCCCCUGAGCCAUGGGGAAGGCAAGCCCAUGGAACACACACAAGAGGAGAAAGACAUGCCCAGCAUCAUCCCUUUGUUCAACGCUGGCUUUGAUUUAGAGGAGAGGAGAACACAAAAACAUAUCAUAAAAACUGAACGAGGAUCAUGUUUAGUAGGUAAGAAACUAAACUGUUUCCAAGUUUAGUAGGUAAUCAAGAGUUAUACUUCUGCUGCAAAAAUCUUUACAGGAUUGGAAGUACUAAAGUGACACUAAUACUGAAACACAGGUAAUCAGAGGUAGCCAAAGGCACUGGCGAUAUGAGUCAUCAUCAAAAGACAGCCCGGGUAAAUAUCACACAUUUCCUGUCAGCUGCUGCAAAGACUUGCAUUUUUCAAACUGAAAAGGAAUACUGUGGGGCUUUUUACUUAUCACUUACUGGAAGAAAGGCUGUUUUAGGCCCCCUCAUUGAACAUGAGACCAAGGUUUCCAAAUGAGUUUUCCUCUAUCAUCACAAGCUGCAUCAUACUCAGUUACUACUGUUUGACAUUGAACUGCUAUAUGUGAUAGUGUAGCUACUCUCUUGAGUAUGCCACAAAGAACUAUUAGAGUGAAAGAGCUAAUUGUGCAAAAAUGUAGGAUCCCAUAAGAAUGUGAAGAAGCCUUCUAUGUCUUGGAAACUAUUAUCUGGUUCCAGACACCUGCACAGACAGGUUCCUCCCUGAGAAGCAUUCGCCAGUGUCCCAGGGCAAGUUACAAAUUAUUUAGAAACUUUUCAAAAUCUUCCCCUUGCUCUAGCCAUGUCCUUGAUCCUGUUCCCAUCUCAGUCCCCAUGCCCCUUGCCCACUCUGAAGCCCAAACUCCCACCAAAGAUCUUUACUUUAAUAUAGUACAACUUACCCGUUAUUUCAUAGUCAGUAUUAAUACCUUUGUAUCCUGUUUAAGAAAUCCAAAGUCAUAAAGAUGUUCUAUAGUGCCCUCCUAUUGAAGCUUUACUGUUUUGCCUUUCAUAUUUAGUACUAUGUCCAGGGAAUGUUUUGUUAAGAUUUUAAGGUUUGUCAUAUAUUGAGCACCUACUGUGUUCCAAGCAUCCUGCUAAGCAGUGUGCUUUAAUUAACUCAAAGAAUUGCUGUUCCCACUUUGCAGUUGAAGUGCUAGAAGCUCAGAGGGGUAAACUUCCCAGAGACCACCUGCAAGAGGCAGGGCCAAGAUCUGAACCCAGGACUCUGACUUGGCAAGAUCCGAGGACCAGAUGCAUGUCAGCUUUGGUGAAGGAACUCUGGGGUUUCCCCCCACACCACCACUGCCCUGAGGAAGAUGACUGAGGAGUGACCCUUCUCCCAGAGGACACUAGGGCCAUUCACCUCAGACACUGAAUGCUGGUGAAUAAAAGGCAUUAGGACUGGGGCUGGGGUGCCCCAGCUCAGGACUACAAAGCAACCUUGGGGACUGGGGGAAUUCAGGACUUCUCCACAAACACUCCAUGUUUUUAUAAAUCUACGUUCCAUGAAACCACACGCUGAGAAACUACUCCAAAGCUCCAGGUUCAGUGUGAUGGUGUCAGCCAUUUGAGAUCAUUUGUAUCUAUUGUGGCCAAGAAGUAUCUAUCUUUGCCUGGUCUAGUAGUUUUUCUCAUUCUACCUACUGAAGUGACAUGUUAUGUUAAUAGAUUUCGUGGUCUUAAACCAUUCUUGCAUUCCUGGAAUAAGUCUUUUCUCCUCAAAAUGUAUUAUUUUUAGUACACUGCUGCCCUGGUGGCUUCCCACAUGCCCUUGUAAAUUCUAGGAGUUGAGGGAACUACUGUGGAGCAGGAGACAAAGUCCCAUGAUAUGUUCCAGAAUCAGAACCCACUAAAACAAAGGGCCAGAACAAAACCAGGGAUGAGAGUACUUGGGGUGGGGGCUCAGCCAUUGUGGCCCAAAAACACAUCUCUAGGCUGGCCCAGCUUGUGGGACAGUUGAUAAUUUGAAACAUUCAUGAAUUUAACAUUUUAUAUAUCAAUUAUUCAUUAACUUCCUGGAAAGACCACAUUGCAGUAAAUGGUCAUUUUCUGAAGCCACGAUUUUGAGACUCAUAAUGCAAAUGAGAGGGAAAUGGCAACCCACUCCAAUAUUUUUGCCUGGAGAAUCCCAUGGAGAGAGGAGCAUGGCCAGCUACA